GAAGGUAUAGCUCAGUGGUAGAGUCUGUACUUAGCGUGCAUGAAGUCCUGGGUUCAAUCCCCAUAUCUCCA
Molecule: transfer RNA, 71 nt
Filed under: Camelus bactrianus (Bactrian camel)
Lineage: Eukaryota; Metazoa; Chordata; Mammalia; Artiodactyla; Camelidae
Also listed under: 3 other names
Rfam family: tRNA
About the family: Transfer RNA (tRNA) molecules are approximately 80 nucleotides in length. Their secondary structure includes four short double-helical elements and three loops (D, anti-codon, and T loops).
Source: Rfam by way of RNAcentral